RNAcentral lists this ribosomal RNA (325 nucleotides) under uncultured Actinomycetes bacterium. RNAcentral describes it as "bacterial SSU rRNA". It matches the Rfam family "Bacterial small subunit ribosomal RNA", at positions 28 to 351 of the family's 1533-position model. Lineage: Bacteria; Bacillati; Actinomycetota; Actinomycetes. The record is from RNAcentral.
GAUGAACGCUGGCGGCGUGCUUAACACAUGCAAGUCGAACGGUGAAGCAGGAGCUUGCUCCUGUGGAUCAGUGGCGAACGGGUGAGUAACACGUGAGCAAUCUGCCCCGAACUCUGGGAUAAGCACUGGAAACGGUGUCUAAUACCGGAUACGACGCACGAGGGCAUCCUCUGUGCGCGGAAAGAAUUUCGGUUCGGGAUGAGCUCGCGGCCUAUCAGCUAGUUGGUGAGGUAAUGGCUCACCAAGGCGACGACGGGUAGCCGGCCUGAGAGGGUGACCGGCCACACUGGGACUGAGACACGGCCCAGACUCCUACGGGAGGCUG